GGGUUCGUGGUGUAGUUGGUUAUCACGUUAGUCUAACACACUGAAGGUCUCGGAUUCAAGUUUGGGCGAAGCUA
This 74-nucleotide transfer RNA is filed under the name Ipomoea nil (Japanese morning glory). It matches the Rfam family "tRNA". From Rfam's summary of the family: Transfer RNA (tRNA) molecules are approximately 80 nucleotides in length. Their secondary structure includes four short double-helical elements and three loops (D, anti-codon, and T loops). Further hydrogen bonds mediate the characteristic L-shaped molecular structure. tRNAs have two regions of fundamental functional importance: the anti-codon, which is responsible for specific mRNA codon recognition, and the 3' end, to which the tRNAs corresponding amino acid is attached (by aminoacyl-tRNA synthetases). tRNAs cope with the degeneracy of the genetic code in two manners: having more than one tRNA (with a specific anti-codon) for a particular amino acid; and 'wobble' base-pairing, i.e. permitting non-standard base-pairing at the 3rd anti-codon position. Lineage: Eukaryota; Viridiplantae; Streptophyta; Magnoliopsida; Solanales; Convolvulaceae. The record is from Rfam by way of RNAcentral.